UUUUGAGAGCAGUCAGAGGGAAAUUAUACAUGACCUGAAAGGGACAAUAAUUCAAAUGGUAGCAGAUUUCUCUUUAGAAACUACAGAGUCAAAAAGUAGCAGCCAUUUUUCAAGUGCUAACAGAAAAGAACUUCAACCCGGAAUUUUCUAUUUUCUGUGAAAACAUCCUUCCAGAAUGAAGGUGAGAGGAAAAAAACAAAACCAAAACAAGGUGAAUAAGGGUGGGAAAAAAGUCUCAAUGAAGGAAAACUAAGAAAAGUUGUUGCCCGUGGCUUUGCACUAAAAGAACAGCACAAUGAUGUUAUUCAGACUGAAAAGAAAUAACAGUAGGACACAUGAAAAAUGGGGAAUGACUAAAGAGCAACAGAAAGGGUAAAUACACAAG
Vicugna pacos (alpaca) is the source of this 385-nucleotide non-coding RNA. The record is from RefSeq and is a predicted model, not a curated record. Lineage: Eukaryota; Metazoa; Chordata; Mammalia; Artiodactyla; Camelidae.